GUCUAGAUUUAGGGUCUGUGGUUAAGAUA
Molecule: non-coding RNA, 29 nt
Filed under: Mus musculus (house mouse)
Lineage: Eukaryota; Metazoa; Chordata; Mammalia; Rodentia; Muridae
Source: RNAcentral